This 519-nucleotide ribosomal RNA is filed under the name Amphisbaena caeca. RNAcentral's name for it is "partial 16S ribosomal RNA". It matches the Rfam family "Bacterial large subunit ribosomal RNA", at positions 1815 to 2605 of the family's 2925-position model. Lineage: Eukaryota; Metazoa; Chordata; Lepidosauria; Squamata; Amphisbaenidae. The record is from RNAcentral.
AUAGCCUUUAGCAAAAAUAGUAUUAAAGGUGCCGCCUGCCCAGUGAUAACAUUAUUAAACGGCCGCGGUAUCCUAACCGUGCAAAGGUAGCGCAAUCACUUGUUCUUUAAAUAAGGACUAGUAUGAAUGGCACCAUGAGGAUCAACUUGUCUCUCAUAACAAGUCUAUGAAACUGAUCUUCCAGUACAAAAGCUGGAAUAAACCCACAAGACGAGAAGACCCUGUGGAGCUUUAGACUUAACCUCACCAAAAAUGAUUACAUAGUCUUUAGUUGGGGCGACUUUGGAGCAAAACACAACCUCCAAAAUCUUAAACCUCAGGCAGACAUGCCAGACCACCACCCUCUUGAUCCAAUAAAAUUGAUUAAUGAACCAAGUUACCCCAGGGAUAACAGCGCAAUCUUCUUCUAGAGUCCCUAUCGACAAGAAGGCUUACGACCUCGAUGUUGGAUCAGGAUACCCAAAUAGUGCAGCCGCUAUUAAAGGUUCGUUUGUUCAACGAUUAAUAUCCUACGUGAUC